AAGUCGUAACAAGGUUUCCGUAGGUGAACCUGCGGAAGGAUCAUUAAUGAAUUAAAAAUGAGGGGGGAGUUGUUGCUGGCCGCAAGGUAUAGUGCACGCUCUCCUUUUGUUCAUUCAUCUCACACCUGUGCACCUAUCGUAGGCUGAGCAAUCGGCUUAUGUAUAUUUAUCACACCCUGUAAUGUCUUACGAAUGUACACAAGGCGCUCGCGUCUUUUAAAACUAAUACAACUUUCAACAACGGAUCUCUUGGCUCUCGCAUCGAUGAAGAACGCAGCGAAAUGCGAUAAGUAAUGUGAAUUGCAGAAUUCAGUGAAUCAUCGAAUCUUUGAACGCACCUUGCGCCCUUUGGUAUUCCGAAGGGCAUGCCUGUUUGAGUGUCAUUAAAUUAUCAACUCUGAAAACUUUGUUGUUCUCAGAGCUUGGACUUGGAGUGUGCCGGACCCCUAACAGGGCUCAGCUCCUCUUGAAAUGCAUAUGCGGAACCUUUGAUUGCGGACCAGCUCCAGCGUGAUAAUUAUCUACGUUGCGGCAGCGAAGCAGUUGGAUCUGCCUAUAAUUGUUGCCUUGUGCAACAGGGACUUCACGGCCCCUAUCUUUGACAAUUUGACCUCAAAUCAGGUAGGAUUACCCGCUGAACUUAAGCAUAUCAAUAAGCGGAGGAAAAGAAACUAACAAGGAUUCCCCUAGUAACUGCGAGUGAAGCGGGAAAAGCUCAAAUUUAAAAUCUGGCGGUUUCACCGUCCGAGUUGUAAUCUAGAGAAGUGUUAUCCGUGCUGGACCGUGUACAAGUCUCUUGGAAUAGAGCGUCAUAGAGGGUGAGAAUCCCGUCUUUGCCACGGACUGCCAGUGCAUUGUGAUGCGCUCUCAACGAGUCGAGUUGUUUGGGAAUGCAGCUCAAAAUGGGUGGUAAACUCCAUCUAAAGCUAAAUAUUGGCGAGAGACCGAUAGCGAACAAGUACCGUGAGGGAAAGAUGAAAAGAACUUUGGAAAGAGAGUUAAACAGUACGUGAAAUUGUUGAAAGGGAAACGCUUGAAGUCAGUCGCGUUCGCUGGGGAUCAACCUUCUCUCGAGUUGGUGUACUUCCCAGUUGACGGGUCAGCAUCGAUUUUGACUGUUGGAUAAAAGCUGGAGGAAUGUGGCAUCUCCGGAUGUGUUAUAGCCUCUUGUUGCAUACAACAGUUGGGAUCGAGGAACUCAGCACGCCGCAAGGCCGGGGUUUUACCCACGUACGUGCUUAGGAUGCUGGCAUAAUGGCUUUAAUCGACC
This 1270-nucleotide ribosomal RNA is filed under the name uncultured fungus. Its description in RNAcentral is "eukaryotic LSU rRNA". The stretch from base 608 to 1270 matches the Rfam family "Eukaryotic large subunit ribosomal RNA", at positions 1 to 649 of the family's 3401-position model. Lineage: Eukaryota; Fungi. The record is from RNAcentral.